CUACGGGAGGCUCCAGUGGGGAAUAUUGGACAAUGGGGGAAACCCUGAUCCAGCAAUGCCGCGUGUGUGAAGAAGGCCUGCGGGUUGUAAAGCACUUUCGGUUGGGAGGACUGCUUCUAGCGCUAAUAUUGUUGGAAGUUGACGUUACCUUCAGAAGAAGCACCGGCUAACUCCGUGCCAGCAGCCGCGGUGAAUACGGAGGGUGCAAGCGUUAAUCGGAAUUACUGGGCGUAAAGCGCGCGUAGGCGGCUAGAUCAGUCGGGUGUGAAAGCCCCGGGCUUAACCUGGGAACUGCAUCCGAUACUGUCUAGCUUGAGUACAGGAGAGGAGAGUGGAAUUCCACAUGUAGCGGUGAAAUGCGUAGAUAUGUGGAGGAACACCAAUGGCGAAGGCAGCUCUCUGGCCUGAUACUGACGCUGAGGUGCGAAAGCGUGGGGAGCAAACAGGAUUAGAUACCCCGGUAGUC
This 466-nucleotide ribosomal RNA is filed under the name uncultured bacterium. RNAcentral describes it as "partial 16S ribosomal RNA". It matches the Rfam family "Bacterial small subunit ribosomal RNA", at positions 339 to 795 of the family's 1533-position model. The record is from RNAcentral.